RNAcentral lists this ribosomal RNA (374 nucleotides) under uncultured eukaryote. Its description in RNAcentral is "partial 18S ribosomal RNA". It matches the Rfam family "Eukaryotic small subunit ribosomal RNA", at positions 592 to 976 of the family's 1831-position model. The record is from RNAcentral.
CAAGAGCGUAUGUAAAAGUUGUUGCAGUUAAAAAGCUCGUAGUUGAACCUUGGGUUUGGUUGGCCGGUCCGCUUUUUUGCGAGUACUGGAUUCAACCGAGCCUUUCCUUCUGGCUAACCAGUCGUUUCGGCGGCUGGCGAACCAGGAUUUUUACUUUGAGAAAAUUAGAGUGUUCAAAGCAGGCAUUAGCUUGAAUAUAUUAGCAUGGAAUAAUAGAAUAGGACGUUAUGGUUCUAUUUUGUUGGUUUCUAGGACCAUCGUAAUGAUUAAUAGGGACGGUCGGGGGCAUCAGUAUUCAGUUGUCAGAGGUGAAAUUCUUGGAUUUACUGAAGACUAACUGCUGCGAAAGCAUUUGCCAAGGACGUUUUCAUUAA